This 430-nucleotide ribosomal RNA is filed under the name bacterium. RNAcentral's name for it is "partial 16S ribosomal RNA". It matches the Rfam family "Bacterial small subunit ribosomal RNA", at positions 355 to 776 of the family's 1533-position model. The record is from RNAcentral.
UGGGGAAUAUUGGACAAUGGGGGGAGCCCUGAUCCAGCCAUGCCGCGUGUGUGAAGAAGGCCUUAUGGUUGUAAAGCACUUUAAGCGAGGAGGAGGCUCUCUUGGUUAAUACCCAAGAAGAGUGGACGUUACUCGCAGAAUAAGCACCGGCUAACUCUGUGCCAGCAGCCGCGGUAAUACAGAGGGUGCGAGCGUUAAUCGGAUUUACUGGGCGUAAAGCGUGCGUAGGCGGCUUUUUAAGUCGGAUGUGAAAUCCCCGAGCUUAACUUGGGAAUUGCAUUCGAUACUGGGAAGCUAGAGUAUGGGAGAGGAUGGUAGAAUUCCAGGUGUAGCGGUGAAAUGCGUAGAGAUCUGGAGGAAUACCGAUGGCGAAGGCAGCCAUCUGGCCUAAUACUGACGCUGAGGUACGAAAGCAUGGGGAGCAAACAGG